Brassica oleracea var. oleracea is the source of this 2005-nucleotide long non-coding RNA. RefSeq lists it as uncharacterized. The transcript is spliced from 8 exons. Lineage: Eukaryota; Viridiplantae; Streptophyta; Magnoliopsida; Brassicales; Brassicaceae. The record is from RefSeq and is a predicted model, not a curated record.
UUGUUUUCUUACUUUGACUCUUCACCUCGCGUCUCUGGUGUCUGUUUCUCAACUCUUCACCUCCGACUCUUUUCAUAUACAUGUAUUCCUUUGGCUUCCUUCAUAUUCCUCUGAAAUUUGACAUAAAUGUCUAUAAAUUGGAGAUGGUUGAGAGUAUGAUAGAAUCUUCACAGACCUUAUCAAUUACUCUUUUAUCUCAAACCUAGAUACCUGCUUCGAAAAUGUCUUCGUCUGAUGAUGUUGUAGUUCAAGCCCAAUCCGCCACUCAACCUUUGAUGCUCAUUGUUAAGGCUGGCUGCAGACAGAUCGUCUGACACGGCUGCUUCGAUUUUGGGCGUUGACAUCCUGCUGAUUGAUUGGAAGUCAACGCUAAUACAAGAGAGAUCAUUUUACCUGUUGAACACCUUCAAGGAAAUCUUGCAAGAGAGAUCCUUUUAUGAGCUAAGCAUUUUUUAUGUUACACGAAGCAACACGAACUUCUGGUAUGUUGCGCCCCUGUUGCAAUUAGUUUUGCAGACCAAACCAUGUUCGUUGAGAUUGCUGCGAUGGUGGAACGGAACCCAAGAAAGAGCGGUGGUUCCGCAACUUUGACACAAUCUGAUUUGGCCAACACAAAAACUGACUUGCCAGGGUUUAAGCUAACAUAAUCGAUGGAUGCCUAGCGAAAAAUAGAAUGAAGAGGAGAAGUCUAAGAAUAAAAACAAACAUCCAAUUAGUUCUGUAGAUCUAAGCACAAGUAGGAAUCGUGGAUUCUGAGGUUUCUUUGAGCGCCCAAUGAGGAAGUCUGCUCCAUACUUAUUGGGAGAUGAAUGUAUUGAGAGAUCCAGAGAAAACAUUGAUAGCUUGGAUUCCGAACCCAGUGAGAUCUAUCGGUUUGAACUUCUAAUGAAUGAAAUGAUAGAGCUGGAGAAGCGGGUCCAAAGAAGUACAAAUGAGCCGAUAAAUGAAGAGGGAAGUUCUGGGGAUCCUUCUAUAUCAAGCAGUAACACAAGGUGUGGAGUUGGUUCAGAGCUCAGAGAAAGAAAACGUCACUGGGAAAACACUCGAUCAAAUCAAAGAAACAAACACAAUAUGGAAGUCAUUCCAAGCAUUCAUGAAAACCCAACUUUUUCUGAUCAUCUUUGUUCCUUGACAUUUACUCUACAUCAUGACGUUAGUUACUGUGAUAUUUUUGAUAGGACGUGUGGCAAGGUUUCAGAUUUUUGGAUCUGAUUCAGUUGCUGCUAUGGAGCUACUUCGGAGGUCUGUAAUAGGAGAUGAGUUAACAGAGAAUGAAAAGAAAAGCUCUGCACAGGACUAUGACUGGCUUAGCAUCAGUUGUUCCCAUUGGUGUUCUUAUGAUUCUUCACUUGAGUAAAACUAUUCCCUCCGCAUUGGUUGAUCAUCCUUGGCAAUGUGUUUGAGUUGUUGAACUAAUCCAUUGGGUACGCUUAUGUAAAAACAGGUUACACCAGUUUGCCAUGCGGCUAUACUUGCUAUAAUUCAAAGAUAUGUGCCAGGCCUGGUAAUGUUCUCAUCUUUUGUAUUACAUGAGAUGAUGGCGAUGGUCAAAAAACAUGUUUGCUAACGUCUACUCGCUGCUCAUCACUCGCGGAUACUACAUCUACGUCAUUAAGACAUGGUGCAAGAAAACGACUGGAUGUAUUUGAUGGUACGAAAGGCUAAUUUGUGCGUUCAGGUCAAGCAUUGAGGCUGUUUCAAUACUAGAGGAAAUGUCUUGACCAAGCAACUUUAGAUACAAAAGCGGAGAAUACAUGUGCCUCAACUGUUCUGGAGUUUCUUCAUCAGAAUGGUAUAUUGAAUCAGUGUCUACAUCAGCGUUAUAGGAGGCAUGACUGAGCAAUUAAGACAAGUAUUCUCUGCGGUACUUUACACUUCAUUUCUCCACUAAACAUAAACAGAACAAAUCCACUGAGUCAAAAUGUAUGUAGCUUACUUUGUCUGUUUAUGAUCCUUAGGUGUGUAAGUUACACCUUCCUAAUGAAUAUAGAUUUAACAGAGUUGA